UAUCCGUUGUUCCCUUUUCCUACC
RNAcentral lists this microRNA (24 nucleotides) under Solanum lycopersicum (tomato). Its description in RNAcentral is "sly-miR9477-5p". The record is from miRBase by way of RNAcentral. Lineage: Eukaryota; Viridiplantae; Streptophyta; Magnoliopsida; Solanales; Solanaceae.